UACGUAGGGGGCAAGCGUUAUCCGGAUUUAUUGGGUGUAAAGGGCGUGUAGGCGGGAAUGCAAGUCAGAUGUGAAAACUAUGGGCUCAACCCAUAGCCUGCAUUUGAAACUGUAUUUCUUGAGUGCUGGAGAGGCAAUCGGAAUUCCGUGUGUAGCGGUGAAAUGCGUAGAUAUACGGAGGAACACCAGUGGCGAAGGCGGAUUGCUGGACAGUAACUGACGCUGAGGCGCGAAAGCGUGGGGAGCAAACAGG
Molecule: ribosomal RNA, 253 nt
Filed under: uncultured bacterium
Lineage: Bacteria
Description: partial 16S ribosomal RNA
Rfam family: Bacterial small subunit ribosomal RNA
Source: RNAcentral